This 295-nucleotide ribosomal RNA is filed under the name uncultured bacterium. RNAcentral's name for it is "partial 16S ribosomal RNA". It matches the Rfam family "Bacterial small subunit ribosomal RNA", at positions 355 to 641 of the family's 1533-position model. The record is from RNAcentral.
UAGGGAAUCUUCCACAAUGGACGCAAGUCUGAUGGAGCAACGCCGCGUGAGUGAAGAAGGUUUUCGGACCGUAAAGCUCUGUUGUUGGUGAAGAAGGAUAGAGGUAGUAACUGGCCUUUAUUUGACGGUAAUCAACCAGAAAGUCACGGCUAACUACGUGCCAGCAGCCGCGGUAAUACGUAGGUGGCAAAGCGUUGUCCGGAUUUAUUGGGCGUAAAGCGAGCGCAGGCGGAAGAAUAAGUCUGAUGUGAAAGCCCUCGGCUUAACCGAGGAAUUGCAUCGGAAACUGUUUUUC